RNAcentral lists this ribosomal RNA (922 nucleotides) under Scinax tymbamirim. Its description in RNAcentral is "partial 12S small subunit ribosomal RNA". It matches the Rfam family "Bacterial small subunit ribosomal RNA". Lineage: Eukaryota; Metazoa; Chordata; Amphibia; Anura; Hylidae. The record is from RNAcentral.
UGGUCCUAGCCUUGAAAUCAACUACUACUCAGCUUAUACAUGCAAGUCUCCGCACCCCUGUGAAAACGCCCUUAUAUCACCUUAGGAUUCAGGAGCCGGUAUCAGGCGCUAACCAUUAAGCCCAAGACACCUAGCUAUGCCACACCCACAAGGGUAUUCAGCAGUAAUUAACAUUGACCAUAAGCGAAAGCUUGACUCAGCCAGGGUAAACAGGGCCGGCAAAUCUGGUGCCAGCCGCCGCGGCCAUACCAGAGGCCCAAGCUGAUUUCACUCGGCGUAAAGCGUGAUUAAAGUAACCCUAAACUGCAGUCAAACCAGAACUAGGUCGUGAAAAUCCUGAGCCUGGGGGGCACAAAAACGAAAGUAACUGCAACACAAUCCACUUGACCUCACGACAGCUAGGGUACAAACUGGGAUUAGAUACCCCACUAUGCCUAGCCGUAAACUUUAAUUUACACCCAAAUCGCCAGGGAACUACGAGCAACGCUUAAAACCCAAAGGACUUGACGGUGCCCCAUAUCCACCUAGAGGAGCCUGUCCUGUAAUCGACAACCCCCGUUAAACCUCACCACUCCUUGCUUUUCAGCCUGUAUACUUCCGUCGUCAGCUUACCACGUGAGCGAUUCCCAGUAAGCGAGAAGGCCUACACCAAAACGUCAGGUCAAGGUGCAGCUUAUGGAGUGGGAAGAGAUGGGCUACACUCUCUACUUUAGAGAACACGAAUGAUUUAACAUGAAACAUUAUCAGAAGGCGGAUUUAGUAGUAAAGGGGGACAAGAGUGCCCCCUUUAACACGGCCCUGGGGCGUGUACAUACCGCCCGUCAUCCUCUUCGAAGCAACAAGAGCAGUAUUUAACAACAUUUAGCUACUAAGAAGAGGCAAGUCGUAACAUGGUAAGCUUACCGGAAGGUGUGCUUGGAAA